This 243-nucleotide ribosomal RNA is filed under the name Veillonella sp. RNAcentral describes it as "partial 16S ribosomal RNA". It matches the Rfam family "Bacterial small subunit ribosomal RNA", at positions 1 to 222 of the family's 1533-position model. The record is from RNAcentral. Lineage: Bacteria; Bacillati; Bacillota; Negativicutes; Veillonellales; Veillonellaceae.
UCUUGGAGAGUUUGAUCCUGGCUCAGGACGAACGCUGGCGGCGUGCUUAACACAUGCAAGUCGAACGAAGAGCGAUGGAAGCUUGCUUCUAUCAAUCUUAGUGGCGAACGGGUGAGUAACGCGUAAUCAACCUGCCCUUCAGAGGGGGACAACAGUUGGAAACGACUGCUAAUACCGCAUACGAUCUGACCUCGGCAUCGAGGAUGGAUGAAAGGUGGCCUCUAUUUAUAAGCUAUCACUGAA